Molecule: ribosomal RNA, 520 nt
Filed under: uncultured bacterium
Lineage: Bacteria
Description: bacterial SSU rRNA
Rfam family: Bacterial small subunit ribosomal RNA
Source: RNAcentral
UUAGGAAUCUUGGACAAUGGGCGCAAGCCUGAUCCAGCCAUGCCGCGUGAGUGAUGAAGGCCUUCGGGUUGUAAAGCUCUUUAGUCCACGAAUAUAAUGACUGUAGUGGAAGAAUAAGCCCCGGCUAACUUCGUGCCAGCAGCCGCGGUAAUACGAAGGGGGCGAGCGUUGUUCGGAAUCACUGGGCGUAAAGAGUGCGUAGGCGGCGAUAAAAGUUAGAAGUGAAAGCCCAGGGCUCAACCUUGGAAUUGCUUUUAAAACUAUAUUGCUCGAAUUUGGGAGAGGAGAGCGGAAUUGUCAGUGUAGCAGUGAAAUGCGUAGAUAUUGACAGGAACACCAGUGGCGUAAGCGGCUCUCUGGACCAACAUUGACGCUGAGGCACGAAAGCGUGGGGAUCAAACAGGAUUAGAUACCCUGGUAGUCCACGCUGUAAACGAUGUGUGUUUGUCGCUGGGGAGUUUACUCUUCGGUGACGGAGCUAACGCGUUAAGCACACCGCCUGGGAAGUACGGUCGCAAGA